RNAcentral lists this long non-coding RNA (3144 nucleotides) under Capsicum annuum. RNAcentral's name for it is "long non-coding RNA (CANN_LNC001361)". Lineage: Eukaryota; Viridiplantae; Streptophyta; Magnoliopsida; Solanales; Solanaceae. The record is from RNAcentral.
UGGGGAAUAGUCACGGCGGAUCCCGUCGGUGAGCUGGAGGAAGUUGAGGUAGCAGCGGUGGUUGCGUUGAAGCACUUUUGACACAUAUUGUUUGUUGCUGGAUUUCCGGUGACUCCACAAUUGUUGAUGCAAAGCGUUAUUGUUUCAGGUACUGCCUUGAACUCCGUCUCUUCUUUCUCCGUUCUCUGAGCCAUUUUUUUCUCUGUGUAAAAAUUAAAUUAUUAGAGAAUUCGAUUGCAAAUGAAGAAAGAGAAAAUAUGAAAUUUGAGGAGAGAGAGAGGAAUUUGUGGUUUGGUUUGGAAGAUGAAAUGGGAAAGAGGCGAAGGGGAAAUGGAGGUUUUAAGGAGGAGAGAGGUCGGUAAUGGCGAUGGAAUAAUGGCCUCAUUGGAUACGCGUAUCAGGCAAAUUGUGGGGUGAGGUGAUUGAUUGACGAUAAUGCCCCUAUGGAUUUUGGUUUUAUUUUGUUUCACAUUUAAUGUUCGAUAUCUGCAUUAAAACGUGACUAUACAUUAAAACUCGAUUAAUUCAAAUUUAUAUAAAACAAUCCCACUAUAAAAAGGAAAAACUAAGAUAUUCCCAAAAGCGACUACAUGUUCCGUAUCCAAACUUGAACUCUAUAAUUAAAGAUGAAAAAAUAUUUUUCAUACCACUGUAACUUAGUCGUCAUUUGAUCAUAAAAAUAAUAAUUUUUUGAAUUAAAGUUGGAAUUGAAAUUGAAGUUGGUGUUGUGCAUGAUUAUGGAUAUAAAUUAAAAUUGUUUUUGAAAUUUUGUGACCAAAAUAGGAGUGAAAAUAUGUAGAGUUGUUUUUGAAAUUUUAUAAGGUAAAUAAAGAUGAAAAUAAGUAAAAUUUUGUGACCAAAAUAGAAGUGAAAAAUAUGUAGAGUUGUUUUUAAAAUUUUAUGAGGUAAAUAAAGGUGAAAAUAAGUUAAAAAAAUCAUUUUUUAAAAAUAAUUUUUAUUGAACCAAUUUUUAUGAUCGAGCAUUAUUAUUUUUAUUUUUUAAUAAAAUAAAAUAAUUUUGAAAACAAUAAAAAAUAUAUUUUUUAUUAAAACUAAAAUAAUUUUAAUUUUUUUUAAAAAAAAUUUCAUGAUCAAAUGUUAGAUUAUGUCGGGGUUAAUAAUGGGGUAUUUUGGUGGUCGAAGGGAUGUGGUUCUAGAUUAGGUCUGACGUGUUAUUUACUUAAUCGUCACUUUUAGAGGAUUUUUCUUUAUUAAAAAAGUAACAAUAGUUUUUUUUUGGUGUUUUGGUGACCUCUUUAUAAUUAAAAUAUAGAGGAUAUUUUAUACAGGCUGGAUAAGGUAUGGAAAAUGACUCUUUUUUCUUAGAGGACAGCUUGUUAAUUUGUAUUUAUGUUUUUUGACACAAUUUUCAAGCUUGGAACUACCCCCUGUCCAUCCCUCCCAUGAUCCAUCGCUCACAAUUUGAAGUAAAUGUAAAUAUGCAACAUGUAUAUUCUUUUCCACUCGUCCCGUCCCCUUCGAAGUUAUGUGACCCUAUUUAAUUAUUCAUUUCAUAUUACUUGAUUGCGAGAUAUAAGAUAUAAUAAUUUUAAGAUAAAAUAUAAAAUUAUUUUAUUUUAUAUUUUAUUAGAGGUAUUAGUUAGUCUGAAUUUAUUUAUCUCACUAUUUAUAUCUUCAUGAUGAAAUAAGUUAUUCCAUAUAUAUGAUGGGAUAGCUAAUUCAGAAUAACUUGUUCCCAACCAAACAACCCCUUAUUGAUUUAGCAAAUCUCCUAUAAAAGUUUUAGUUAUUAAAUCCUUCUACUCAUUUAUGUCAUGUUUCGAGUUAUAUAAUGCUAUUUAAUUACUUUAUUCGUUUCGUAUUACUUGAUCCUUGUUGAUUUAACAUAUAUGUUAUAAAAGUUUCAGAUAAAUAUAUAUUUUAUUAAAUUAAUAUUAUUAAUAAUAUUUUAAAACUCAAAAAUUAACUACUACUAUCAAAGGUAAAAAGAUUAAAAACUAUCGUUGAAUUUUCUUUAUAUCAUAAAUUUAACGAGUAAAUUGAAAUAAUUAGUUUUAAUUGAUAUGGAGGGAGUACGUAGUUAAUAGAUUUAAAAGAAAAAAUAACACAAAUCUUAAAACUUGCAUGUUGUUAUCGAUAGUGCUUUUGUUGUUAGAAUCUUUAAUAUUUUUUAUCGUAAUUGCUUUUAUUGUUAGAAUCUUUAAUCUUUUUUAGUUGAAAAAAUAUAUUGAUUGAGUAGCGAAUAAGAUUAAUAGAUCAAUUUUAUGGAAGACUUUUCUCAUUAUUGUUCGCGUUCAAGAAAUGAAAUAGUAUUAGAUAAAGUAAUAGUCUUUGAGUUUCUCAUUUCCAUGACAGCAUGAGUUAAUUGUUACAUAAUUGUUCCUACUGGCCCAUUUUCAGCGUCUUUUACUAUUUUGAUGCAAUCAUUAAAAAAUAACUUCGCUAAAUUGUCCUUAAUCUUUCCUCAAUUAUGAAAAAAAAAAGAAGAAAUUAUUGGAGCAAGGUUUUAUUUAGAAAAAUAAAUUAUUUUUUUUUUAUUUCUUAAAAUGAUAUAAUUGUGAACCAAAUUUAAAAGGCUAAACGAUCACUUAAAAUAAGUCGGAGGGAGUUUUGUUGACAGGAUACAAGUGUUUUAAUGCACAACAACUUUCACACAAUUAUUUAGAUCUUUCACCUAUAUAUCAAUAUUUUCUUUCAAAGCCUUUGUUGAAAUUUAUAUAGGGAAUGAUUUCUCGUGUCACAACGGUUUUUGCAUACCAAGUAAGUAGUUGUUUUUCUUUUUAGCUUUCUACUAUGGUCAUUGGUACUUCGUCUUAUGACAUAAGUGAGGAAAUAAAAUCUCUGCAGACUAGGUUCAUUUGAGAAAUAAAAUCCCUAUGAUGUGUUCAAGCUUCUUGUUUCUUGAUUUAAGGAGUUCGAGUUAUAUGUUCCUACAAAAAGAAAAAAGAAAAAAAAAAGGAGAGUUCCUUCUCAAGCUUUAAUCAUUGCAUAAACGGAGCUAUAACUUGAAAUUGUACUAAUUUUUUGUUAAAAUUAUUGAGUUCUAAUUAACAUUUGUAUAUAUUUACCAGGUGUGAUAUGACCCGUCCUGACGUGAAGAAUAUUUUUAGAUUAAUUAUUAUGAUUUACAUACUUUUAACGUAAUUUUUAAAAUAAUAUAUAUUACACUCUCUGUCUAAUUUU